CCCUGAUAGCAUAGAAGGUCCAGCCUGCCCAGUGACCCUGUUCAACGGCCGCGGUAUCCUAACCGUGCGAAGGUAGCGUAAUCACUUGUUCUUUAAAUGUGGACUAGUAUGAACGGCAUCACGAAGGUUAUACUGUCUCCUUUUUCUAAUCAGUGAAACUAAUCUCCCCGUGAAGAAGCGAGGAUAAAAAUAUAAGACGAGAAGCACCUAUGGAGA
RNAcentral lists this ribosomal RNA (216 nucleotides) under Duttaphrynus sp. MSR-2010. RNAcentral's name for it is "partial 16S ribosomal RNA". It matches the Rfam family "Bacterial large subunit ribosomal RNA", at positions 1835 to 2099 of the family's 2925-position model. The record is from RNAcentral. Lineage: Eukaryota; Metazoa; Chordata; Amphibia; Anura; Bufonidae.